GAGGAGUUUGAUUCUUGCUUAUCUCCUAGUGGGUUUUUAGGGUACAUGAAAGUUUACGUUCAGUUUUGGUUGGUUGUAGAUGCGGCCUAUGACAAGCUAGGGUUCUCAGUACAUAGGAUUGGUGUAUGAAGAGGUCUUUGACCCAGUAAUUAAAUUAAGUUCAGGCUAAAAUUGUGCCAGCAGCCGCGGUUAUACUGAUAGAACAAAUAGGAGUGUGUCAGAGUCGGGGUGCGUGGGACUUUAAGUCGGGCUGGUGUAACUUAGUCGAAACGGUGAAAUUUAAUAUAUCGUAGUAGCUUUGGUUCGACACGAGGAUCCCGAAGUCUCCUAAGGCCAAGAUUUAAAAUAGGAUUAGAUACCCUAUUAUACUCGGUUGAAAUUAUAAUAAUUCUUGAGUAGUAAACAGGUAUGAUCUCGAAACUCAAAGGAUUUGGCGGUAUCUAAGUCUGGUUAGAGGAAUUUGUGCAGUAAACGAUAGUCCGCGAGCAUCUAGCCCUGCUUUGUAGAUUCAGUUUGUAUACCGCCAUUAUUAGGUAAUCUUGAUGGAGAAUUGCUAGGAUUAAGGUUGCGUUAAGUAUAUUAGGUCAAGGUGCAGCUUAUAGCAGGGAUGUCGUGAAUUACAUUGAAAUGAGUAUACAUACGGACAGAUCGUGGUAGCGCGUUCUUAAAGGUGGAUUUAAUUGUAAGGUAGGUACAUGGUGCUUGUUUGAUAGGAGCUCUUAGAUAUGUACACAUCGCCCGUCGUUCUCACUUUAAGGUGAGGUAAGUCGUAACAUAGUAGGUGUGUUGGAAAAGGCACCUAGAGUUAA
Molecule: non-coding RNA, 809 nt
Filed under: Alpheus inopinatus
Lineage: Eukaryota; Metazoa; Arthropoda; Malacostraca; Decapoda; Alpheidae
Source: RNAcentral